This is a long non-coding RNA of Gouania willdenowi (blunt-snouted clingfish), 2806 nucleotides long. Ensembl annotates it as calphotin-like. Lineage: Eukaryota; Metazoa; Chordata; Actinopteri; Blenniiformes; Gobiesocidae. The record is from Ensembl.
AGAUGGAAAAGGCUGCUGUGUUUUACUACAGCAGGAGCAGAGUUGGGGGUUCGCCACGUGCUCCAAAAAGUGCGCAGUCGAGGAAAGUGGGAGUGAUGAUGAUGAUGAUGAUGAUGAUGGUGGAGUGGUUGCGUAACGCACGCGCACCAUCCCGUCAGUCAGUCAGUAACAGCCGUCUGCUCGUGCUGGCCUGUUCGAGGAAGCGCGUGCGUAUUCAAUUCUGUGAAAAACGCCCCCCAUCUUCCGCCCCGUUCCUCCUAUAGGCUCAGUGCAAAGGUAUCGCAGAGCCGGGGGUGGCUUUAAAAACAUCCACUGUGCUCAUUCUGCCUCGCUGCCCGUCUUUCUCUCCCUCGGCUGUCUCUCGUUGGCGUACAGAGCGCACCAAAGAUGCCCAGCAAAAGCAAGAAAAACAAGCGCCGCAUGAAAAGGGCGAGAGCCCUGAAGGCGGUUCUUGAAGAGCAACAUGCAGCUAAGACACCAGUCAAAGCCAGCCGUGGGCUUGCUGUCGGUGCACCCCCUGCAACAAACCAAAAGAAACCAGUUAAAAAACCUACUCCUGCUCCAGCGCCAACACCAUGCCUGGCCCCUACUCUAGCCUCAGCUUCAGCUCCAACUCCAUGCCUGGCUCCAUCCCCAGCUCCAGUUGCAGAACAAGUUCCUGCUAAGAUUGUAGAACCCAUUCCCGUUGCUGUUCCCAUUGUGGAAGUCGCCAAAGUUGAACCAAAACCCAUUGUGCCAGAACCUGUUGCAGAGCCUGUCCCAUGUGAGAUAAAGUUGCCCGAGCCCGUUUUGAUUGAAGAGACUCCAGUUGAGGUAAAGUUGCCGGAGCCCGUUUUGAUUGAAGAAACUCCAGUUGAGGUAAUGUCGCCGGAGCCUGUUUUGAUUGAAGAGACUCCAGUUGAGGUAAAGUCGCCGGAGCCUGUUUUGAUUGAAGAGACUCCAGUUGAGGUAAAGUCGCCGGAGCCUGUUUUGAUUGAAGAGACUCCAGUAGAGGUGGAAGACAAAAUCCCAGCACCCGUCACUGAAGACGAAAAAGUUAUUUCGACGCAACAAGUUUUGGAACCUCCUACAGCGGAAGUUGUUGUGGAACUCAAGACUGAACAGGUCAUUCCUGAACCAGAAACAGUCCCAGAGCAGGUCUCACCUUUAGCUGAGGCUGCAGUGGAGACUCCUGCUCAGACAGAGGUUCCAACAUUUGAGACCACAGUUCUACUAAAGGAGGCUGAACAGAAGCUUGAUGUGUGUGAACCAGAGGUUGAAGUUGAAGUCUCUGUGGAGCAAGUGGAAGUGACUGAGGUGGAAGCAGAGCAGACUCCGGCAGCAGAGCCCGUGACAGAAGCUGAAGAACCCACAGUGGAAGCACCAUCAGACGACCAGGUAUCGUCUGAUGCAGUGGAAGUGGUCACAGAAAUCGUCCCCGACACAGAGGCAGUGGAGGAUAUCACAGAGAUACCCAAGUGUGUGACAGAAGCAGCUGCUCUGAAGGAGGAAGACGAAGAGGAAGCUGAAGCUGAAGUGGAAGUGUUGCCUGAAGGAGACACAACUCAAGCUUCUGCAGAGCUUGUUACAGAGACAGAGGAUGUACCAAUCCAGUGUGUGGAAGUCCCAGAGGUGCCAAGUAUCAUCGCAGAGGAGAAGAAAGAAGAGGCUGAAGCUCCCGUUACAGAAGUUAAACAGCUCAUUGAAGACUCGCUGGUUGAAAACCUGACUGUCACUGAACCUCCAACAGUAAUUGAGUGUGAAAUCACUGAGUCUGCAGUUGUUCAACAGGAACCCGUGGCCGUUGCUGAUGCCCUCGCCGUGCAAACAGAAUGUGUGGUGGAGCCUCCUGCUGAGCCUGAGCCUGAGCCCAUUGUUGCACCUACAGAGGAAGUAGUCAGUGAUUGUGGCAUUGACCUGCUGCCAGAGGAGCCCAUGUCAAAUGUCUGUGACAUGGCAUGUCCGAUGCAGCUCUCUGUGGACUCUGUGCAGCUCAGCUCAGUGGAGAUGUCCAUGGACACAGUGCUGUCUGCACACAUGGCCCCAGAGGUUCCCAUCGAGGGUUAGAUGAUGAUCCAUACCAAACAACUUCUCUUUAUUCCCUUUCGGUCAUUUGGAAGACAUGCUACCUGACUUGAAGUCAUCCAGAUGAGAUUUUUCAUUCUUGAGGCUUAGUAAGGGACCAUCAGGAAAUCUAAGGGAUAUCCAUGCUUUGAAGUGCCUUUUCCUGGCCUUGGUUUUUGUUAUAUUAGAAAUAACAUCGAUGUGCAAAAAACAGGAGGGAAACAACAUACAUUCAAGGCCAUGCAUUUCACCAUUAAAUCAGUUUACCAACACAUACAAAUAUGUAGGAGGAAGAAAAGAAAGCAGAAGAGGUGAAAAUUUGACUUGAUAAUCCUGUUCCUUCACUCUGUGCAUGUGAGAACUCAACACGUAAACUCACAAGAGACAGAAAACCAGUUUUAUUUUCAUCCUACUUCACAUAAACUCAAUUUUUACCCUCUUUUCUGACCUUCGAUCAUCUGCUUCAGCUAUGUGCCAACGCUAAAGCGAGUGUGAUACUAAAAUCUAUAUCGCCAAAGCCUGAGUUUUCAGCUUGAGAGACUGAUGAGUGACAGGUUCUUCAGAGGAUUAACCCACAUGUCUUUUUAAAGAUCCUUUUCCCACCGUUUUUUCUUCUUUUUUUGUAAUUGAUUUUGUAUAGAUCUAAUGAUGUGCUACAGUUUUGUGUUCAAAGAUCAUGUUGUGGGAAAGAUGAUUUGAAUUAGGUUUGUAAGUUGGUUGGUUGGUUGACCUUUGAAAUAAAGCUGUAAUUCAUCUGGAUUCA